This 254-nucleotide ribosomal RNA is filed under the name uncultured bacterium. RNAcentral describes it as "partial 16S ribosomal RNA". It matches the Rfam family "Bacterial small subunit ribosomal RNA", at positions 524 to 776 of the family's 1533-position model. The record is from RNAcentral.
UACGAAGGGUGCAAACGUUGCUCGGAAUUAUUGGGCGUAAAGAGCUCGUAGGCGGUGUGUCGCGUCGGCCGUGAAAACCUGCAGCUUAACUGUGGGCUUGCGGUCGAUACGGGCAUCACUGGAGUUCGGCAGGGGAGACUGGAAUUCCUGGUGUAGCGGUGAAAUGCGCAGAUAUCAGGAGGAACACCGGUGGCGAAGGCGGGUCUCUGGGCCGAUACUGACGCUGAGGAGCGAAAGCGUGGGGAGCGAACAGG